GCGGACAUGGCGGAAUUGGCAGACGCGCUGGAUUUAGGUUCCAGUGGUUCACAGCCGUGGGGGUUCAAGUCCCUUUGUCCGCACCA
This 86-nucleotide transfer RNA is filed under the name Clostridiaceae bacterium. Its description in RNAcentral is "tRNA-Leu". It matches the Rfam family "tRNA". From Rfam's summary of the family: Transfer RNA (tRNA) molecules are approximately 80 nucleotides in length. Their secondary structure includes four short double-helical elements and three loops (D, anti-codon, and T loops). Lineage: Bacteria; Bacillati; Bacillota; Clostridia; Eubacteriales; Clostridiaceae. The record is from RNAcentral.